AGGGUGCAAGCGUUAAUCGGAAUUACUGGGCGUAAAGCGUGCGCAGGCGGUUCGGAAAGAAAGAUGUGAAAUCCCAGAGCUUAACUUUGGAACUGCAUUUUUAACUACCGGGCUAGAGUGUGUCAGAGGGAGGUGGAAUUCCGCGUGUAGCAGUGAAAUGCGUAGAUAUGCGGAGGAACACCGAUGGCGAAGGCAGCCUCCUGGGAUAACACUGACGCUCAUGCACGAAAGCGUGGGGAGCAA
RNAcentral lists this ribosomal RNA (243 nucleotides) under uncultured Bordetella sp. Its description in RNAcentral is "partial 16S ribosomal RNA". It matches the Rfam family "Bacterial small subunit ribosomal RNA", at positions 529 to 771 of the family's 1533-position model. Lineage: Bacteria; Pseudomonadati; Pseudomonadota; Betaproteobacteria; Burkholderiales; Alcaligenaceae. The record is from RNAcentral.